Clupea harengus (Atlantic herring) is the source of this 1012-nucleotide long non-coding RNA. The record is from Ensembl. NCBI's taxonomy places the organism in Eukaryota, Metazoa, Chordata, Actinopteri, Clupeiformes, Clupeidae.
CUCUCGCCCCUCGUUAAGGAACUGGCCUUUCCAAGAAGUUGAAAUUCAUCAACACGCAGUUGUGAAAGAGCCCAUACGCACACACAUAUAUAGACAGAGAGAGCGAGAGGGACACAUACACUUAAUCAUUGCUUUGUGAGUGCUGACAGUUCCCAGUUUGAGAUGCUAGUGGUCCAGUACGGGCAUGUAAGGCUGCAGCAGCUGUCGGAGUGACGACUAUCUUGUCCCUCCAGACAUUCCCACACACACCUCAGAGCCGCCUCGUCACACUGAGCACGCCCAGUACAGUCACCAGACAUGAAAGAUGUAGUCCGCCCUUUCGUUUUUUUCAUCAACAAGUUGCUAAUAUUUGCACACAACAGCCAAUCAAAUUACACCCCUCCCUUCCGAGCUCCUGAAACACAGUGUCGAUUGGCUGGGAAUGUUCAUGACUCGAUCCGAGCCACUAUCUUUGAUACCCAUUUACAGAGCCAGGACUGUGUACGAACACCAGAGGUUUGUGAACACCGAAGAGACGGCAAGAAGACCGUGAAGAGCAAUUUGCUGAAUUUGACAAAAAGUGUGUGCCUUUAACCAGCCUUGAAUAGCAAGCUUUGGUGGAGGCUGCCUGGGCUCUGACUAAGGUUUUUUUUUUUUUUUUUUAAAGAUAAGUUGCUUUGCUUUUGUAAAACAAGUUGCCAACAUAAAUACAGCACACCAGUUACUGUGGUAGGAAGGUUUCUGAGUUUUCUGCCCUAGGAAAGGCUCAUGAUUGUGUUUGUCACUUUGUUAGUAGUAGCUGCUAAAAAUAUCAAGCCAUGCAACAUUCAUUAACAAUUCCACAUGUUCAUGUUUUCUGUGUGUGAUAGAGAAAUGUAAUUCAGGUCCAUCUUAUUAUUCAGAUGCAUAUUUGAGGUAGAUAAAGAAAAGCACAAGUCAUCUUUCACAACACAACUGUUAAAAAUAGAGAAACUGUAUUCACCUCUAAAAUAGUUUGAUUUGCGGUUGCUUGCCGAAUGGACCAGCAGAUGGC